Molecule: transfer RNA, 83 nt
Filed under: Schistocephalus solidus
Lineage: Eukaryota; Metazoa; Platyhelminthes; Cestoda; Diphyllobothriidea; Diphyllobothriidae
Rfam family: tRNA
About the family: Transfer RNA (tRNA) molecules are approximately 80 nucleotides in length. Their secondary structure includes four short double-helical elements and three loops (D, anti-codon, and T loops).
Source: Rfam by way of RNAcentral
GGCCUCGGAACUCAGUUGGCUAGAGCGUUGGCUGUACUAAAGCCUUCCCCUUGCUGGCGUGGGUUCGAAUCCUACCGAGGCUG